This 320-nucleotide long non-coding RNA is filed under the name Vitis vinifera (wine grape). RNAcentral's name for it is "long non-coding RNA (VVIN_LNC005242)". Lineage: Eukaryota; Viridiplantae; Streptophyta; Magnoliopsida; Vitales; Vitaceae. The record is from RNAcentral.
GCUGUAGGUGACGCAGGAGACCUUGCGGCGGAGGGCGAUGGCGAUGACGAUGGGGUCCAAGGCGGUGCGGUGGUUGCAGACGUAGAGGUUGCCGGGGGAACCUGGGGAGGGGGGCGGAGGAGGGUUGCCUCGGAUAACAAGGUUGAUGCCCAGCAUCGGGUAGGUGUAGCGGACGAUGCGCUCUGGGAGGGGGAGGUUGAAGUAGACUCGGAAGAUAGAGAGUGCAAACCCAAAUGGAAGCCAGAGGUAGAUGAUGAGGGCCGUGAGUGGCGUGGGGGGUUGGACGAACCGACCAUCGUGGAAUAUUAUUGGGGUUUUCA